RNAcentral lists this long non-coding RNA (212 nucleotides) under Setaria viridis. Its description in RNAcentral is "long non-coding RNA (SVIR_LNC008034)". Lineage: Eukaryota; Viridiplantae; Streptophyta; Magnoliopsida; Poales; Poaceae. The record is from RNAcentral.
CGAGAACCAGCCCAGGUGAGCAGCCCGCUCUAUAAAUCAGAGGCAGCAGCACGCCACCAGGAAGGAACAGAAAAGAAAGAAGAAAAUAGAAAGGGAAAAGGACGUUGUCUUCCUCCUCCCGUUCAGAGAUCAUCUGUAUUUCCCGUGAUCUUGCUCACGUGCCGGUUCGAUCUCGCCGGCGGCUACGGGUUGUUACACCUCCUCACGCAAAC